AUAUAUGUGUGUGUGUAUAUAUAUAUACAUACACACACACAUACAUACAUAUAUGGGUAUAUACAUACACACACAUACAUACAUAUAUGUAUAUAUAUA
Molecule: microRNA precursor, 99 nt
Filed under: Loxodonta africana (African savanna elephant)
Lineage: Eukaryota; Metazoa; Chordata; Mammalia; Proboscidea; Elephantidae
Description: miRNA (ENSLAFG00000024911.2)
Source: RNAcentral